Molecule: ribosomal RNA, 498 nt
Filed under: Stagonosporopsis cucurbitacearum
Lineage: Eukaryota; Fungi; Ascomycota; Dothideomycetes; Pleosporales; Didymellaceae
Description: eukaryotic LSU rRNA
Rfam family: 5.8S ribosomal RNA (bases 125-278)
Source: RNAcentral
UGCCUGCCAUCUCUUACCCAUGUCUUUUGAGUACCUUCGUUUCCUCGGUGGGUUCGCCCGCCGAUUGGACAACACUUAAACCCUUUGUAAUUGAAAUCAGCGUCUGAAAAAACUUAAUAGUUACAACUUUCAACAACGGAUCUCUUGGUUCUGGCAUCGAUGAAGAACGCAGCGAAAUGCGAUAAGUAGUGUGAAUUGCAGAAUUCAGUGAAUCAUCGAAUCUUUGAACGCACAUUGCGCCCCUUGGUAUUCCAUGGGGCAUGCCUGUUCGAGCGUCAUUUGUACCUUCAAGCUUUGCUUGGUGUUGGGUGUUUGUCUCGCCUCUGCGCGCAGACUCGCCUUAAAACGAUUGGCAGCCGGCGUAUUGAUUUCGGAGCGCAGUACAUCUCGCGCUUUGCACUCAUAACGACGACGUCCAAAAAGUACAUUUUUUACACUCUUGACCUCGGAUCAGGUAGGGAUACCCGCUGAACUUAAGCAUAUCAAUAAGCGGAGGAA